AGCCAUGCGGUGAGCACAAAGCGAACUAUUCUUUCGCCUUUUACUAAAGAAUACCGUGUGUGCACCGCAUUCAGUGGCAUACGCCAAUUUUUUAAAGGGAUUUCUCUUACAAGGGAAGC
Small nuclear RNA from Pyrus x bretschneideri (Chinese white pear), 119 nucleotides. RefSeq annotates it as U5 spliceosomal RNA. NCBI's taxonomy places the organism in Eukaryota, Viridiplantae, Streptophyta, Magnoliopsida, Rosales, Rosaceae. The record is from RefSeq and is a predicted model, not a curated record. The transcript has a single exon.